GUGCCAGCAGCCGCGGUAAAACGUAGGUGGCGAGCGUUAUCCGGAUUUACUGGGCGUAAAGCGUGUGCAGGCGGGAUGACAAGUGGUGUAUGAAAUAUCCCGGCUUAACCGGGAAGGGUUAUGCCAGACUGUCAUUCUAGAGUGCGAGAGAGGGGCGUGGAAUUCCGGGUGUAGUGGUGAAAUGCGUAGAGAUCCGGAGGAACCCCAGAGGCGAAGGCGGCGCCCUGGCUCGCAACUGACGCUCAGACACGACAGCAUGGGGAGCGAACGGGAUUAGAAACCCUCGUAGUCC
This 292-nucleotide ribosomal RNA is filed under the name uncultured bacterium. RNAcentral describes it as "partial 16S ribosomal RNA". It matches the Rfam family "Bacterial small subunit ribosomal RNA", at positions 505 to 796 of the family's 1533-position model. The record is from RNAcentral.